AAGAUCUUAAAGCAACACAUUACAUACUCAUAGAAGAAUAAGUUUUUAACUGAGAUAUAUGCUUAACCUCAAUUACAGGUUGAGAUGCUGAUUUUCUCUUGUCUUUAUUUUAUAAAAUGUCUUCUGUUUCUUGUGACAUAUGUAAAACAUAAACCAGAACACAAAUAUAAUUUAGCAUAAUGUAUUAGAAACCUAUACAAACUAGGUAGGUCAGUUGUCACUUCUAAAAGGCCUGGAAUUGAUUUGUUUGUCAGAAUGGUGUAAAUAUUCCUAGAGUAUUCUAAGGAUGAUUUUAAAUGAUGAAUUCAUAAACUAACAGACCUCGUAAUGUAUGUGCAAAAAAAUAUACUCCGUAUGUAGUGUAUUUCUUACUAAUUUGCAGAGGCUGUUCUAUUUCCUUCUCAGGAAACACAGUUUUGAACUUAGUUGUUAGCUAAAAUUUUAGUGCAAAUUUAAUUGAUCUAUUCUAAUGUCUACUAAAUUCUAUUUUGUUUAUUACUUUUUCUAAAUAAUUAGUGAUCUGAUAGUACUCGUGGUCCAUUUUAGUCCUGAGACUAAUGACAUCUUCUGUUAUUGGUAUCUUAAAUGUGCCUCAGGCUAUAUCAAAGGACAGUACAUUUUUCAUUUAAUGUGAAAAUGCAAUAGUAACAAUCCCAAGGUUUUCGCAGGACUGAUCAUUAUGUUGGUUAAAAAGAAGUAUCUUUUUCUUGCAUGUUAUUUAGUUUCAAGAGAUGAUAACACAAGAAAAUGAAGAUUUUUUUUUUCUUACAUAGAAGUAAAUAUCAACCAUUUGAUGGAUCAUUGCCACAGGUGUAGCAAUUAAAUUUCACUCCUCAGUCAGUUUGUUUUGAAUAAAAAUCUUGCACAGUUCCUUACCAGUGUUUCCUGUAUAGCUUUGGCUUUUGUCAGGAAUACUGGAGAGCUGGAAAUGCAGGUCUGUUUGUUCUCCUGAUCCAUGAAAGAGGAAUUGUACUGUGAGGGAGUUUGGAAAAGAAAGGUAACAGUGCAAGAAAGCCAAAUUUGAAUCCAUGCCCAACUCUAUAAACUUCACCUUUAUUCUUCAUUAUCCACCACAAAAGGUGAAGUGUCUUUGUGUUUGUUAAAUCAUUGGCCUCGGUCUCACAAUUACCAUUCAGGAUCUGCAGCCGUGACAUUGCAGCUCUCUGUGAAGCUGAAUUCAAAACACCCUCACUCUGGCUUAGAGAGCAAAUGAAAGGCUAGGGUCAACUAGUGGCAACAUUUGGAACAAGAAUUUAACUGGUUGCCUGAUGAUAAAGGGAUUUAUAUUUGCUUAUUGAUCCCCUGAGACUCCCAAGCUGGGCCACAUCUCAUGGUGAUGGCUAAACUUUGCUAUGGAUCUGAAAUAAUGUAGCUAAUGUAGCUGGACCUCGUACCUCUGACCUUUCCUGAUCCUCCUUGUCAGACUGGACUGGGUAUUCUCUAAACUGCAUUUGGGGCUGCCUUUGCCAAAACCCAUGAGCCAGUGCUUAUUUCGUCAAUCCUUUUUAAGUGCCCCUGCUUUAGACUCCUCUGCUUAUAUUUACAGCCCUGACAUUACAAGUGUGAAUUCUCAAAUAACAAACAGUUUUCUUUCCUUGUAGACUUAGUAUGCUGUGGCAUCUGUAAAUAUCUGCUCUCCCCUGUGAGUCUAGGAUAACACUGUAACAUGUACAGGUUAGCUGAGGGCACAAAUCACCAAAACUGCCUACAUUAGGAGUUCUCUCCUGUUUUUGUUUUUGUUUUAGUGGAACCUGUAUUUUUUUCUAAAGGAAUGCCUGCUCCUCACAACUCCUCUAAAAAUCUCCCUGAGGUUUUCUGUGUGAUAAGUUGUCUCUAAAAUAAUUUCAUGAGUAAAGUUGGUAGAGUGUAUCAGAUAUGUUCCUGCAGAGAGAGUAGGACCAUUCCAGGAAGGGGGUUGCCUCGAUCUGCUGUCUAAUAACGCUUUAUCUAUGAUAGAACUUAGCAUAGCUGUGAAAGGAUGAAUAAAUUGUUCUCAGUCACCUACCAGUGGAAAUUUUUCUUCACAGCAUCACUUUAAAAAGGAAGCAGUUCCCCUAAAAUGUUAAAUUGAUGUUCCAGCUGAGAAAAAUAACAGUAACUUUCAGAAGAGAAUUUGAUUUUUAAACUCUUCUGCUUUACUAGCUGGCAGCCUUAGGUAUCUGCAAGUAUAUCCUGACUACAUAAUCAGCCUAAGCUGAAACCAGCACAAGUUUUACAUCUCUCUUAUAAAUACAAUUCCUACAAAGGGUGCUUGCACUAGAGCAAUACACAGAAUCACUGCACAAACUUACAAAGUGCUCUUAAACCCUUUAAAGCAAAGUGCUUUUGAGUAAAUGACACUCUCCAGUUUUGUAAUGUCAUGUGGAUAAAUGCCUCAUUUACUGACUGCGAGGGGACCACAAAGAUCUGUUGUUGUAAAAGUUUGAUUUUCCAUUUCUUGGGACUGGAAAGUAGAAUAGAGAUUUGUCCUAGCCUUGUUGCAGAAUUGACAAAUCAUUAAUUCCAUUGAUUCUCACUGUAGUGCAAUUUAUCGAACCUAAGUCCAUUUGUAUUAGCAAAAAUUACAUGUCAUGGUGAGGAAAUCCCUCUUCUCAAGCUCUUGCUUUUAUACUUUCACCUUCAUUUAUUUAUUCUUUUUAAAGCACUGUUACAUACUGUUGUGUUCUUAGAAGCUUCAGACAAAGAUUAUCAGGGAGACCCUUCUGUUGAGUCAUGAGGUGCAGAAAGGACCCCCCUUGCUUUCUGAACUCCUUCUCAGGGAGGAGGCUAGGUGCAGCUGGAUCUAAUCCUAGUCCUCGUGGUUAACGGUUUAUGUCUAAUGGAUUAUAUAGGUGUAAUUGAGCCUUUGUAUGACUUUGUCUUGCAGGAUUAAGGAUGGCAAACCAAUAAAGUAUUUAAAUUGAUGAUAAUAAUGAUUAGACUAAAAGACUUUAAUCUGAAUCAGUUACUACACAAUAUAGAUAUUUACAAUUACAAGUACAAUUACUUCAUGAUUUUAACAGUGAACUAUUUAUUAAAUCAAUAAUUUCAAAGCUAGCAAAAUAAUUAGUAAGUAGAGAUUGAUGUUACUCUGUUCUAAGGACUGUGACCAAAUAUCUUUCACUCAGCCUCCAGGUGUAACCUUGAGGUGUGUCCUUACAGGGAUGCUAGAAAUCCCUGCCAUUAAAAAGUGGGACUGUGCUUUUUGUAGUAUAAAGUGAUCGACUGUCAUUCAUAUGUUUCUAGCCUAGCUGUGUCAGCUCAGCAGCCUUCAGCUCAGCAGCUUUAGAUAAGUUAUCUGUACUAUCUCUUGUUGGUUUCUUUAUCAGGAACUUUUUCUGCCACAUCCUCACCAGUGACAGUUUCUGUCAGGAAAUGUUUUUUCACAUUCUCAGUGUUUAACUUGGGGAUUGUUGAGUUAGGCUGAUCUCAGCACUCUUCAACAACAAAAGCAGUAUGACCUCCCUUCUCCAUCCAUUGAUGCAAAUAGGGUAAAGUUUGAGCUGUUUCACUCCUACUUAGGCAGAGCAGCCUGCUACACAUACCUUGUAAAGAAUCUGGAGUACUAGAUUAUGGAGCCUUCUGCUUGUUCUUGUCCAUUGAACUCAAUGCACUUUAUGUCAAAAUUGCAAAUACAUCAAGUGUUGAAUGGACACUUGCCAGUGUUCGUUUGGAUUUGGGAGGAGCAAAGGACUGCAUGCAGCAGGCAGACUCACUUCACUUCCACCCCCCACCUCCCCCAGCCUGCAAACUGCAGUGAUGAAAAGGGCUUUUGAAGGGUGUCUGACAAGGAACAAAUUUCCUUUUUUCUUCAUUUAAAGAAGAAAACACCCCACCAGGUUUUUGGCCCUGGCUGGUGCAUGUCAACACAGCUGCAGCUGGAGUGGUGGUGAUGUACACCACUGGUGAUGCUGGCAGGGAGAUGCUGCUGUGGGGAUGUGCUGUGCUUCCACUGGAGCUCAGCCUCUGGAUGCCAUGGAAGCACAUAAAAAGAGGAGGGUUAAGGGAGAUCCUGAUUAAAGUUCCAUUUACUGAUGCUCCUCACCAAUUUAUAUCCAAGUGCUACUUUGCUAAUUAAUGACUGCUCAUGAAGUGCCAUGUGUCAGCAAUGAAUCACUUAUUUUUGUUGCACUGCAGUAGUAUACUGCUAAUGAGCAAGGACAACUCAUAUAAUUAAAGUCUAAAAUAGCCCUGUCAGUAGGACACAAUCAAGUGUUUAUAUCUUGCUGCAGUGGGUGGACCAGAGUAUAUCACUUUUCUGCCUUUGCUAGUUUUACAAGAAAAAAAAAUGGAGAGUUGAAAAAAUUUGGGGUAGUAAAUAUUUUUUCAACUGUAGUAGUACAAGGAAUUGACUUUAAUUUUAAAAGAACUAAAAUUCUGCCAGUUACCUGUAUCUGGCAUAAUCUUAAAAUAAGACUGUCUUAAUUAUUGCCUCUAAUGGGCCUCAUCAAGCUCAAAACUAAUUAAAAAAAAAUAAAAAGGAGAAACAGCCUGGAUGAAAUGGGGAAGAUUAGUGCAAAGUUACAGCAAAAUCUGUAGUUUGUUUCUUCACAGCUGCAUGUAGGUAGGAAAACUGAGAAAUGAGGACAAGCCAGCUGUGAAUGUAUGUAGGCAGCUGUUCAUACUUUAAGCAAUACCUUGAAAAACCAGUAAACCAGCAAAUAACAUUUCUCCUGUUUGACCUGGUCAGUGCUAGCACAGCAGAGGUCUUCUGUUUUCAUUCAUGAGAGGUAAGAUCAAGUCUCUGGAGAACAUUUGGUCCAUCUAUGCACACUGCAUCCCUUUCCCCAUGGUGUUAUACAUCACAGUCUGAACCACUGAUGUAGUCCACUAGUUUUCCUCACAGGAGGGAAAAAAAAUUGUAUGUCCAAGAUAACAAGUAGAAUCUAUUAGCCAAAGCCCCCCAUGUUAGUAGUGACAUGCACAAAUGACAUAAGGCCAUCUAGGUUUCCUAGAUGCAGCAGUAGGAAAACUGUAUCCCAUCUCCUCUGUCAAGGAAUAAAUCCGUCUCUUGUGGACCCAGUUAUUCUGAUUAGGAGAGAAGGGGAGGGAUAUAUGUAGCCUAUAUUGAAAAGAUAAGACAAAACAGAGACUUUAUGGAAGGCAUGGGAAGAAGAAUGGACCUUUUAUUUUAGUGCUUUGGAUACAAAAUAUUUCAAUGUUUAGGAUUUUAAGUUUGUAAUGAAAAACAAUUCUAUGAAAAAUUGAAACAUUCCUUCCCACGACAGCCCCUACGAUCUCUCCACCACUCCCUUUUACACACACCUAUGUGCGAACUCGAGUUUCUGUGAAGGAACAAAAAGCCUAAUCAACAGUUGUGACCACUACUGCUGAAAAAGAGCAAUAAAAGUGAACAUCCAUUUUCCUUGGAACAGGUUCUGAAUACUUUCUCAGUAUGAGCAGACCUGAUCUUGCUGCUCAGCAGUAAGAACAGCUACAGCUCUCCCAUUACUGCUAGCAUGACAGAUCAACAUUUGUCCUUGGUGUUGUCUGUAGCAAGCACUGGGUAGACCCUUUGUAUUGGCCCCAUACAGCUAUUUAAAAAAAAAAUCCCAUGAAACGAGAAUCUUUUCUGAAAUGACUUCUACAAAUUCUCAGAAAGCUUUGUGAGUGCCUGACAAAAGCCCUCACUCUGGGGUAUAAAGUACAGUGGGAUUGCCAGCUCUGUGUUUUCACAGGCUUGUUUAGGAAAAAUACUCAACUUGGGUUGAGUAGGGAAGACCUUAAUCUCCUUAUUCUUGAGAACACUGCAGCCCUCCCCACCUAAACUUUCUUGAAUGUUAAGCUAUGAAGGCAGAUGUGCUACCUGUAUUUUAUCCCCUUCACAGUCUCGCUGUGAUCUCCAAUGACAUCCUGACACUGGACAGUUCCCCAGUGAUAAAUGGGGAACAAUUCCUCUUUUCAACAUCUGCUCUUCCACUUUUGUUUAGCUCUUCAAAAGCUGUUUGUUUGCAUUGACAAGACUGUGGUGAGAUCGUGAGAGAAAACUUUGGAUAGAAUUAAUUUAGAUAUUUCUGAUCUCUUGAGUUUGCUUUUGGGUAAGUCAAGGUUCUGUAUAACUGCAGAGUGGAGGCAGGGAUAAAAGUAUGAGACUGUCAGAGCAUCUGCAAAAUGGGCACUUCAUGAUUUUAAAAAACAUGCAUUGUUGUGGAACAGAAGUGUAAUAUAUGCCAUUAACAUUAGUGUCAUUGGACAGCCUCUAAAUUGCAGAUUGGUGGGAAAAUAUUGGUAUGAAAACAAGAGAAAAUGAAAACCGUAAUAAGCUCUCUGCAUAAGAAGGGUGAUCUACAGUUAAAUAUAAAGGCUAAACUGAAAAAAUGUGAAGGAUGAGACAUAUUUCCUAUUUUAAGGCUAAGACUGAUGCUCUGCCUCUCACCCCCAAAGCUGUGGCAGAAACUUAGUGGUGUGAAGCAGAGACACCACAUCAGAUUUCACUCUGCAUUCCUGGCUCUGGAUGAUUUAUCACUUGCAGCCAUUCUGUUUGCUAUUAAUUAAGUACAAAAUUUAUUUUGCUUUUGUAAAGUUAUUAUAUACAAAAGUUAGCUUGACUGUCCUCCAUCUCCUAUUGAGCUUAGUUGAAAGUGAAAACAAAAGGUCUUUAUUUCAGCUGCUGUAAAUUCAGGUUCCAAAUGUAUUUCUUUGCAUUUGUACACUCAUAAAAUGAAAACAGGCAGCCUGAAUUCUCUGCUGUAGGUGCUCCAACACUUCUUGUAAAUGUGGUUAUAAAAACUGAUUACUUCUUAACAAAUAACCUGCAUGUAUUAUGACAUAGCCAGGAGAAUGGAUAUGAUCUGGAUGGUAUUAUGACAGAAUCCCGUCAUUUUUUUCCCCCCUGACAGCAGAUAUAUGGGCUUCACUUUACUCUUUGGAGAAUGAUGAACUAUUGACCACCAAAUAAUGGGAGAGCAAUGUUUGAUGUUGAGAAAACCAUGCUAGAAAUGCCCUCUGGGCGACAGUACUCAGCACAAAGGUGGUUCUUGGAGCUGACUGUCAGCCAGGCUCUGUCUGUAGCUCUGAUUGCUUUGGAAAUGUCAGUAAUGUCAGCCAAAAUGGGAGGCUUGUGCGAGAGGAAGACAGAACAUCUUGCUGAGCUAUGGCAAUAACAAGUUUGUUGCUAAAUGUGAGCUAUUACUACCCACAAGCACAGAUUUCAGAGAAUGCACCCCUAGACACAACUUUCUUGGUGACAUGUCUCUGCUUUACUGGGAACUCAGAUAGACACAUACCGAUGGCAAGGAGCCUUUUUUUUUCUCUAUCACCUUCUGUUUUAUUCCUCUUUUCCUUCUACCCAGAGAAUAAUAGAGUAUUUCCCCAUUUUCUUAAAGGCAGGUAGAAAGAACGAAAGAUAAACCCCAAUAAAGCAGCCCCAGAGUCUCUGGGCAAGUGGAUGUCUUUCAGUUCAAAAUACAAUGAAACACAAAAUACAACUGUGAUGACUGAUGUGGCUUUUUAUUCUCCAGUCAUGAUUAAAAAGGUAAAUGCUUCCCUCUUUCAGUGAUGUACUUCAGUACAGUGAUGGUAAAUUGAAGACAAGAUCUGUUUGGGUGAUGCAGGGGACCAGACACUAUUCAAACAUAGGAUGGAGAGGAUUUUGUCCCUCCAGGAGUCUGAAAGUCCCACUUGUUAGAGAGUUCCUGUGUGAGUGGAGAUGUGCAGUGUGGGUGAGCUGAGAAGGGAUGUCAGUGGCAUAAGAGAUGGCGGGAGUUAGAAACCACAAGUGGCUGCCAGUCCUUUUGUCUGCGCUGCGAAUAUGCAUCUUGUAUCUAUUCUUUCCUAUGAGAAUCUCAAGGGUUCUGCUGCAACACUGCUCCAGCAUAGUGAUGCUGCACAAAGGAGAAAUCUAGUUUUUAUUCAGGAUAGAGAUUUAAGCAUUCCUGUCUAAUUCCAUUCUGAAUGGCUGUUUGACAGUUUCUUGUGCUGAACUUCUGCAGAACCAGUCCAUACAAGGUGCUUUGACUAACCACUCUGCUCCUGAAGCCAUCCCCAAAAUUUAAAUAACCUGGACCAUCCUUCAGCUCCCAGUUCAGCUCAUUAAGAAGUGUGGGUCCCUGGGACCAGCAAACACAGCACAGGAUACCUUGUAUGCAGUGCUAUCUUUUGUACGCUGAUUUUAACAGCUCUCUGAAAAAGAGGUUCAAUUACAGUUUGCCUUGGAAGAGGCUUUCUUAUGAGCUGCUGAACCCUCCCAAGCACCAUUUACAGGCCUGCCAGAUUUUGAUGUUUGCUGGAGAAAGUCCAGCCCAUGGACAAGUCACCAGCUCCAACUCCUACUGGAGGGGCCAAGCAGCAGACGUGCCAUGAGUGCAAAGAAGCACCUGGGGGCUUCAGAAAGAUGGCACGCCACCCAGAGAGGUAAUCUUAAUGCCUAAGAGAGUUUCCCAUGGCCAGAUUUGCUUGCUUUAAUAAAGUAAGGAUUUUAGCUGGUUGAAAUGAGGAUACGUGAUGGGAGAAAUUUAGUCUUGCUGGAAUAUUCUUAUAAACAUUUUAUUAUUACUUUUUGCACUGAAGUGUUCAUUGUGUCUCAUGAGAACCAUCGUUAGACAUUUUGACAUACUUUUUAUUCAAUUCAGAAAUUAACAGUGUAGUUUUAAUGAAGUUCAAAUAAACCCAGUAUGAAUACUGGAAUACAAAACAAUUUUUUUGUUCAAAAAUCAAGAAGAAAAUGAAGCAAAAGCAUAUCUGAAGAUUACAAAGAUAAUUUAAAAGAAAAUAAAAAGAUAAUGAAUGAGCACAGCUAUCAUUCCCUUGAAUAUAAUGAAAUGUGUUUUAUGACAUUUGGCUGUAAUCACAAUUAGCAAUACUCAGGGCUAUUUGCUUGGCUGUGUGUGCAAAUCUGAAUGUGUGUGUAUGAGAAAGUAAUAGUGGCUGUACAAAUUAAUUUCUUGUGAAGGGCUGAUUGCUCCACCUGUUAUAGUCUGUCUACAUCCUAUAUUCCCAUCAAAUGUUGCUGAUUAGUUCACAGAAUGUAAUUGAAGAAUGAGAAUAGAGAGCAAAAUGUCUGAUUUAUAGACUGAAAUGGUUAUACUCAGUGAUUUUUUUUUAAUGCUGGUUUAAAUAUUCUGUUAUUAAAUUGAUUAAAUAAUUAAAUACUGCUAUAAACAUGUCAGAUGGUACUGACAUCAAUUUUCUACUGCUGAGUGGGACUCUCAUUUACUUGCUAAUAUAGUGAAUAUUACUAAAGUUGGUGCUAGUGUUGAACGAGAUUGCUAAAGAACAUUAAGGAAAGAAGGAAGGGAUGAAAAUACCCUCUGUAAACACUUGUCAGUGAAAAACAUAGCAUGAACAGAUCAUGCUAUUUGUAUAUGCUUUAUUUGUGUUAAAUAAAAGAGUUUUCUUUUUUAGAUUGAGCAGAGCUGAAAGGAUAACUGGUUCUAAAGGUAAAAGACGAUUUCAAUGAUUCCUUGUUUUCUUUAAAAAUACAAUCACCAGACCACAAGCUGCAUUAUUUGUAUGUUUAUUCAGUUAUAGAACUGAAUCUAUAUUUGAGAAAGCAUGAAAAGUUAAGACAAGAAAUCCCCAGAUCGAAACAAAGCCACUUGCUGCAAAUCACAAUGUUAGUAAAGCAGAUAAAGUAAAAACUGUUUUUGGGGAAAAUAUAUAAGCUGCUAAAAUCCAUGUGGACCUGCUGGAAAUUAACAUAGCAAACUAUUAUAAAUAUUGUCAGCUACAGCAAGAGAAGAGGAGAUCCAGCUAUCUCACUCCCCAGUCAGAGCUGAGACACUGCAGGUUUGGAGCAUCAGAGCUGACUCCCUUUCUUCAUAUCUGAUAGCAGCUGAACUGUAUCUGUAUUCAACCCUUUAUUCAUUGUUUGCCCUGAACUUGUUUGAAGUCUAUUUAAGCUGUGCUAAUGACUGUAGUCUAAUUUAAUGAAUAAUCUCCUGGAGAUUCACAGUUGUUGUCUGGGUUUACAAAUUUUUUAAGGAAGAGAAAAACCUGUACCUGCCUUUUUGAUGGUGUUCUGACUUCAACAUGUUAUUUGGCCCACUCACUAUUCUUCACCAAUAUGCAGAGAAGAAGGGGUAUCAAUUUGUAUAUCAUGCUGUGCUGUUUUUGUCUGGGGCAGUGUUAGUUUUCUUCAGAGUGGCUAGUAUGGGGCUGUGUUUUGGAUUUGUGCUGAACACCGUGAUGAUAGUACAGAGACGUUUGUUAUUGCUGAGCAGUGCUUGCACAGAGCCAAGGCCUUUUCUGCUUUCUGUACUGCCACGCUGGCAAGGAAGUUGGGGGUGCGUGGGAAGCUGGGAGGAGACACAGCCAAGACACGUGACCUCAACUGAUUCAAGGGAUGUUCUAUACCAUAUGACAUCAUAAUUCAGUAUAUGAAAUCGGGGAAAGAAGGAGGAAGGAAGGGACAUUUGAAGUGAUGGCAUUUGUCUUGCCAAGUAACCACUGUGUGUAACGGGGCCCUGCUCUCCUGGAGAUGGCUGAAUACCUACCUGCUUGCCCGUGGGAAGCAGUGAAUUAAUUCCUUGUUUUAUUUUGCUUGCAUGUGUGGUUUUUGCUUUUCCAAUGCCUAAGUAUUAGUCUAUGUAUAAAACACGUUAAAAGAAGGUUGAAGUUAAGUUCAUUGAUACACUGUUGUCAAGAAUAUAACUAUCUUGUCAAAAGAAGUUCCUUUGCUGACAUAAGCCCCCUCUCAAGAGGAUGUAUUUCUUGGAAAGAGAUACCAUGGUCAACAAAUUUUUCAAAUUCUAGAAGAAGUAGCCAGCAAGGAAGGUUUCAUCUUGAAACAAAUCUGCCGUGUUGUUAGAAGACAUCAUAGUAGGUCCUCUAAGAUGCUCUUUUUUUGUCUUAUAAAUACACUUUGGCAAUUUUAUGUAGUACACGCAGAGCUAGACGUAAGUGCCUGUACAUCUCAGUUCAUUCAGCACUAUUCGAUCUGAGAAGUGUACUUUGGUGUACAUUUUAUUAAAUUCAAAAAUGGAAAACAGAGAAAGCUUCUAAGCCCCGUAUCAGUGAACCACACGGUAAAAGCGCAAUUAUAAAACUAUAAUAAAUAUUUAUGUGCUUAGUACAUAUGAGAUAUUCUAAGAUUCUAUAUUGUAAACUGCACAUGCAUUGAAUAACAAAAGACUGAAUAGCGAGGCAUUUUCUGCUUUGUAAAUUACUUUAGGCUACCACAACUCAUCUGCUUUGGAAGCAAGAUUAUUUUCUUUUGCUAAAAGUGAAUGUUUUAAGAUUCUCGUGUGUAUGAAGAAUUAAACAUUUACUUCUGUCUGACCAGGAUAUGUAUAUGACAUGGUGUAUCCAGGGUCAAUUUAUUCAUGUGGUAUAUAAUUGUCACUUUUUAGCAAAUGGAAUUUCCAGUCCUUCUAUGAACAAAAAAUAUGUCUCUUUUGUACUGUUUACUAGGCUCACCCUGAUUCUUAUUCUGUCAAAAUAAACUCUGAGAUAUAAACUCUAUUUCUCUGCAGAAAAUAAAAAACGUACAACUUUUU
Long non-coding RNA from Pseudopipra pipra, 11414 nucleotides. RefSeq lists it as uncharacterized. The record is from RefSeq and is a predicted model, not a curated record. NCBI's taxonomy places the organism in Eukaryota, Metazoa, Chordata, Aves, Passeriformes, Pipridae. The transcript has 2 exons.